AGUCGAGCGAAUGGAUUGAGAGCUUGCUCUCAAGAAGUUAGCGGCGGACGGGUGAGUAACACGUGGGUAACCUGCCCAUAAGACUGGGAUAACUCCGGGAAACCGGGGCUAAUACCGGAUAAUAUUUUGAACUGCAUGGUUCGAAAUUGAAAGGCGGCUUCGGCUGUCACUUAUGGAUGGACCCGCGUCGCAUUAGCUAGUUGGUGAGGUAACGGCUCACCAAGGCAACGAUGCGUAGCCGACCUGAGAGGGUGAUCGGCCACACUGGGACUGAGACACGGCCCAGACUCCUACGGGAGGCAGCAGUAGGGAAUCUUCCGCAAUGGACGAAAGUCUGACGGAGCAACGCCGCGUGAGUGAUGAAGGCUUUCGGGUCGUAAAACUCUGUUGUUAGGGAAGAACAAGUGCUAGUUGAAUAAGCUGGCACCUUGACGGUAC
RNAcentral lists this ribosomal RNA (438 nucleotides) under Bacillus sp. AF-B77. RNAcentral's name for it is "bacterial SSU rRNA". It matches the Rfam family "Bacterial small subunit ribosomal RNA", at positions 60 to 478 of the family's 1533-position model. Lineage: Bacteria; Bacillati; Bacillota; Bacilli; Caryophanales; Bacillaceae. The record is from RNAcentral.